RNAcentral lists this unclassified non-coding RNA (241 nucleotides) under Hevea brasiliensis (rubber tree). The record is from RNAcentral. Lineage: Eukaryota; Viridiplantae; Streptophyta; Magnoliopsida; Malpighiales; Euphorbiaceae.
UAUUUUCUCUAAUUUCGUUGCAACAUUUGCAACCAGGGUAAAACAACCCUGCUCCGAAAGCUUUUUUGCACGCGGGGCAGGUUGGGGUUCUGAACCUGAACGGCGCCUGACCGACGAGGCAUCUUUCGUCGANNNNUAAUGCGCUGACUUGAAACUAUUAUGGAACUCCCCCUGUGAGUCCGCCGGAUCCAAACGGACACCGGCAAACCUAUCAUUCUAGGGGAUCCUUUGGUUCUGACAU